This 438-nucleotide ribosomal RNA is filed under the name uncultured bacterium. RNAcentral describes it as "partial 16S ribosomal RNA". It matches the Rfam family "Bacterial small subunit ribosomal RNA", at positions 338 to 795 of the family's 1533-position model. The record is from RNAcentral.
CCUACGGGAGGCUGCAGUGGGGGAUAUUGCACAAUGGGGGAAACCCUGAUGCAGCGACGCCGCGUGUGGGAAGACGGUCCUCUGGAUUGUAAACCACUGUCCCCAGGGACGAAGAUGACGGGACCGGGGGAGGAAGCGCCGGCUAACUACGUGUCAGCAGCCGCGGUAAUACGGAGGGAGCGAGCGUUGUCCGGAAUUACUGGGUGUCAAGGGAGCGGAGGCGGGGAUGCAAGUUGGGUGUCAAAACUACCGGCUCAACUGGUAGUCGCACUCAAAACUGCAGCUCUUGAGUGACGUAGCGGCCGGCGUCCUUCCUUGUAGCGGUGCAAUGCGUAGAUAUUAGGAGGACCACCAGUGGCGAAGGCGGCCUGCUGGGCUUUUCCUGACGCUGAGGCUCGAAAGUGUGGGGAGCAAACAGGAUUAGAUACCCUAGUAGUC